GAUUCUGGCUCAGGAUGAACGCUAGCUACAGGCUUAACACAUGCAAGUCGAGGGGCAGCAUAUCGAAGCUUGCUUUGAUGAUGGCGACCGGCGCACGGGUGGGUAACGCGUAUCCAACCUUCCCUAUACUAGAGGAUAGCCCGGCGAAAGUCGGAUUAAUACUCUAUGUUCUUCGUAGAAGACAUCUGAAAUGAAGCAAAGGUUUACCGGUAUAGGAUGGGGAUGCGUCUGAUUAGGUUGUUGGCGGGGUAACGGCCCACCAAGCCCACGAUCAGUAGGGUUCUGAGAGGAAGGUCCCCCACAUUGGAACUGAGACACGGUCCAAACUCCUACGGGAGGCAGCAGUGAGGAAUAUUGGUCAAUGGACGAGAGUCUGAACCAGCCAAGUAGCGUGCAGGAUGACGGCCCUAUGGGUUGUAAACUGCUUUUAUACAGGGAUAAAGUUCACUACGUGUAGUGUUUUGUAGGUACUGUAUGAAUAAGGACCGGCUAAUUCCGUGCCAGCAGCGGC
Molecule: ribosomal RNA, 511 nt
Filed under: uncultured bacterium
Lineage: Bacteria
Description: bacterial SSU rRNA
Rfam family: Bacterial small subunit ribosomal RNA
Source: RNAcentral